CCUACGGGUGGCAGCAGUGGGGAAUAUUGGGCAAUGGGCGAAAGCCUGACGCAGCAACGCCGCGUGAAGGAAGAAGGCUUUCGGGUUGUAAACUUCUUUUGACAGGGAAGAGCAGAAGACGGUAUAUGUAGAAAAAGCCACGGCUAACUACGUGCCCGCAGCCGCGGUAAUACGUAGGUGGCAAGCGUUGCCCGGUUUUACUGGGUGGAAAGGGCGUGUAGGCGGGCUAGCAAGUCAGAUGUGAAAUUCGGGGGCUUAACCACCGAACUGCAUUUGAAACUGUUAGUCUUGAGUAUCGGAGAGGCAGGUGGAAUUCCUGGUGUAGCGGUAAAAUGCGUAGAGAUUAAGAGGAACACCAGUGGCGAAGGCGACCUGCUAGACGACAACUGACGGUGAGGCGCGAAAGCGUGGGGAGCAAACAGGAUUAGAUACCCGUGUAGUC
This 442-nucleotide ribosomal RNA is filed under the name uncultured bacterium. RNAcentral's name for it is "partial 16S ribosomal RNA". It matches the Rfam family "Bacterial small subunit ribosomal RNA", at positions 338 to 795 of the family's 1533-position model. The record is from RNAcentral.